This 253-nucleotide ribosomal RNA is filed under the name uncultured bacterium. RNAcentral describes it as "partial 16S ribosomal RNA". It matches the Rfam family "Bacterial small subunit ribosomal RNA", at positions 524 to 776 of the family's 1533-position model. The record is from RNAcentral.
GACAGAGGGGGCAAGCGUUGCUCGGAAUUACUGGGCGUAAAGAGCUCGUAGGCGGCCUGUCGCGUCGGAUGUGAAAGCCCGGGGCUCAACCCCGGGUCUGCAUUCGAUACGGGCAGGCUAGAGUGUGGUAGGGGAGAUCGGAAUUCCUGGUGUAGCGGUGAAAUGCGCAGAUAUCAGGAGGAACACCGGUGGCGAAGGCGGAUCUCUGGGCCAUUACUGACGCUGAGGAGCGAAAGCGUGGGGAGCGAACAGG